This 483-nucleotide ribosomal RNA is filed under the name uncultured bacterium. RNAcentral's name for it is "partial 16S ribosomal RNA". It matches the Rfam family "Bacterial small subunit ribosomal RNA", at positions 355 to 847 of the family's 1533-position model. The record is from RNAcentral.
UGGGGAAUAUUGCACAAUGGGCGCAAGCCUGAUGCAGCAACGCCGCGUGAGGGACGACGGCCUUCGGGUUGUAAACCUCUUUUAGUAGGGAAGAAGCGAAAAGUGACGGUACCUGCAGAAAAAAGCACCGGCUAACUACGUGCCAGCAGCCGCGGUAAUACGUAGGGUGCGAGCGUUGUCCGGAAUUAUUGGGCGUAAAGAGCUCGUAGGCGGUCUGUCGCGUCUGCUGUGAAAACCCGAGGCUCAACCUCGGGCCUGCAGUAGGUACGGGCAGACUAGAGUGCGUAGGGGAGAAUGGAAUUCCUGGUGUAGCGGUGGAUGCGCAGAUAUCAGGAGGAACACCGAUGGCGAAGGCAGUUCUCUGGGCCGUAACUGACGCUGAGGAGCGAAAGCGUGGGGAGCGAAACAGGAUUAGAUACCCUGGUAGUCCACGCCGUAAACGUUGGGCGCUAGAUGUGGGGACCAUUCCACGGUUUCCGUGUC